Molecule: long non-coding RNA, 3858 nt
Organism: Cylas formicarius (sweet potato weevil)
Lineage: Eukaryota; Metazoa; Arthropoda; Insecta; Coleoptera; Brentidae
Exons: 3
Source: RefSeq, a predicted model, not a curated record
ACUCAUACCGCAAGGAGAACCAUCUGUUUAACAAAAACCAUUCAUCUCCUAACGUUCUUGAACGACAGAAUAAAGAACGUGCCGCGAAAACAAAGACGUAAUAAAAGAGUGAAUAAUGAAGACGGUAUAAUAUAGUACAAAAGUUCCAUUCGGUAGUUCCGCUCUAUAGAGGAAGAAUGCCUUUUCUUUUAAUGUGCGUAGUUACUCGACCGUUGAGAGAAGAUAAAAAUCUGCACCAAAUUUAAUAGUCGUAUGAACGAGACGGCCACAGAAUAAGCUCAUUACUGCGAAAGUGAAAAUUUUACGAUUCAAUGCUGCGCGGCUGCGAUAAAUCGACCAACAGCGAGGGCCAAACGAUCGACGUCGCAUGCGAAAUAUCGACCGAUAAAUCUGUCCAGAGGCGAUAAAACGUGUCGAUUUGUCUGUACGCAUACUGAUUGCUGGUAUCACAAGACGGAGCAGCGACUUUUUCAAACUCGUAAGCUAGCUACAAGUUGGUGAACUACAGGGGCUUGAUUGAUUUUAGUUUUCUAGAAAACUGUUGACUGUUGAGGAAGAGUGAACGUUGCAGUUCAUAAAAUAUGGCAUUUCCGAGAUAUCUGACUCAAAAGGAAUUAGAGGCAGCUAUGGAGAAAAUCGUGAUGGAUGAGGACAAUAACAAUGAAAGUCGUAAGUAUUAUUUGGAUUUACGUAUUCUUACGUAUUGCAGCAUUCGCAGCAUUCCAUUCCAUAUAAAAUAUUUACAAAACAUAUUCACGCGAUUCACGAAUUUAGAUCAUGUGAGGAACUAAAAAAUAGGCUCCGCUUGAAAUAUUUUUUAUGUUUUUUGAUGAUGAACUGAUUGAUUUAAUUUUAAAUCUUACAUUGCUUUGCGACUUUUAAAAACUGAUAAAACAAUUACUCAAAGAAAUCUUGAACAUGCAAUAGAUGAAGUGCGCUAUGAUAAUCAAGGUCACCUCAUGAUUGUUCACGCUAAUAUUCCAUCAGUGAUAGGUUCAGAAUACCACAUUAAAUUCGGGCUUUAAAGGAUAGUUUUUUCUAAGAAUAUCGUAUUGCACUAACCGAAAUCGAUUUUCAUAAUCUUCAUCUAGCAUUCUCACUUGCAUUUUCUUCAAUUGUUUAUCGUUCUAGUGCAUAAAACUCCUUUUAACUCAUUAGAGGAUGUAGGGCAGCGAAUAGUGAUCUCCUCCAAAGCUGAAGAAAUAUUCCAGUGCCAACUUAAAGUUUGUCGUUUCCAGCAAUGUUUGUAAUAAUUUAGUUAAUAUUAAUAGUAAAAAAUACAAUAAACUAUAAGUUUCUGUUAAUUUAUUAAUCAGUCGGUACUAAUCUCCAUCUUCUUUUUCUUUCUAUUUUCUCAAGAUUGUGCUGCCCUGUAUCUUAGAUAUUUGGAACACAGGUUGCUUUGAUUCAUUUAAUUUUUGUGGAAAAAUUAGGGCUCUCAAAUCUCCAUAAAAAAUAAUUAAAAUUUUAUAUAGCUAUCUAAAUUUAUGGCUAAAACAAGUAACAGUUGUCAUCUUGUCUUCUGCACUUAUGGCAUCUCGAAAAUUAAUUCACCCGCUCAUUUUUAAAAGCUGUAUAAACUGCUCACCGUCUUUCUUAAACUACUUUAUUUAUUUUAUAGCCAAGGCUCGUCUUCAGGUAGCAAUGAUAAGGGCAAGGGCGGCAUUUAUUUUUAUGGUGCCUCGAUACUUUUUCAAUACCUGUAGAGCAGACUGGGGCUUAAAUAAAUAAGAAUAAACAAAACAACAAAUCCAGUCAAACAUAACCUCUUUAUACUAUGAGUUGGUUGAACGACAGUAUGUUCCUUCAAAAACUUCGUGAAGAAAUUCAUCAGUUGCUUAAUGAAUUUGUUAUUUGUUUAUUUGUAAAAAUAGCGUUUGCGCGCGACGCUGAAGAAAAGUCGUAAAUCUGGCAGCGUCGCAAAAUUAAAAUCCCGCUCCUGAACUUGACCUUUCGCGGCCGCCGCGAUCGUCUGCGACGUCCGUGUCGUUUACGCUUUUCGCGAAUUGAACUUGAAACUGAAAACGCGACCACGCGGCGAACGGGAACGUGGCUGCUUGGACGCCACGGAAAUGUCCGACAUUUUGACAGGAUCUGAAAGUCGGUAGUAGAAACGCAUCUCGCUUAAUUCGAAUUUGGCUUGUCGAAUGGAGCAAAAUGGCUGAGUUGGGGAUGGUUGGACAGACUUGAACUGCUUUUAAUCAUGGUUUCUUCUAGACGGAAUUAAGAGAAGUGUUUACUAUUAUUAAAACAUAAGCCAUAACAAACGGGGUGGACCUGCCGUGUGUGGAAUGAGUAUACGAGGUCAGGUAAAAACGUUAUUUUUGAUCCCAGCGAAUUAUUUUCGCAAUAAUUUUUAUCUACUAUGCUCUCUAUAUGCUGCAAAAUGAGCUACUUUCUACUUUGGAUUAUAAAUUUUAAUAAACAAACCUCUUUGUACGAAAUUUGUUGUCUUACAAUAUUUUGGAAUUUAGUUUACUACCUUGUAAUACUUUGCCUUUUAUCCUAAUGAUUUUUUACAUAAAAAUGAAGUAAUUGACACGUCUACACAUUUUUGAAAACCCGCCAUUAUUCUUAUCAUACCCGCACCUACUAAAAAAAGUUGGAUCCGAUAUCUUGACGGCGUAUCCGCACACGUACGCAGUAAUUAAAUAUAAAAAUACAAAGAUAAAAUUUGAAAAAUGCUCUGUAUCUCACAAAACGUUAAGGAGAUUACAUUGGCGUCAUCCUUUUUCUUUAACAACCCAGUAACUAUGGGCAAGAACCGUUACUCUCGAUUUUUAAAAAUAAGUUGUUGAAUACCCUGAACCUUGAUGUUGUCUAAAUUGAUCUUUAUGAUCUUUAGUUUUCCAUGGUGGUAAGAGAUAAGGGGAUUAGUUAUAUAAAUUGUUACUAUCCCCCUUUUCCUAAUAAUUAUUGCUCAACUACUCAACAAUCCACUUAUAUAUCAAAACAAAGAUAAUAUUUAUUAUCCAAAUUUACUAAACUUCCCAGCAUCAGUUCGUAAACGACAUUUAGGUUGUACAAAGCUGAUGUGAACCAGACAUCAAACAGAUGUUUUUCAAUCCAUUCAGUCUGCAAUUCAAUGAUUACAAUGAUUACAAUUAGAACACGCUACAUUUAUAAGAUAUUUUUUUAACAGGUUUGCCGUGGCCCAAACACAGUACAUUCAAAUAUAUACGUUAACGAAUUAGGACAGUUUAUAAGGUUAUGUAGCAAUUUAUAAAUAAAGAUAACAGACACUCGCAGCUCCGUUCAAAUCUAUUUAUAUAAAAUCUGUUUAAAUAAGAUUAAUAAUCUAAACUUCCCGGUGGAUAUCACCAUCAAGCUUUGAUCACUAGAUAUUUCGAAGAGGACCGAAAUUUGAUUUGGAAAAUCAAUAACUUUAUCUGUUCGAAUGAAACUCGGGAUUCUACACGUCGAGGUUAUAAAAAGUAAAUUUGCAAUGACAGGAAUCAUUAAACAGGGUGGACAACUUAAAAGGUACAUUAAGUUUGGCGAAUGAAUGUAAUGUGACAGCGGCUUUACCACACUUUAUUAGAAUAAUAAAGAUAAAUGAGUAGUAAAUCCAGUAAAUCCAGAUCCAGUAAAUAAAAACAUAUAUAAAAGUAAGAAUAAUAUAAAAUAUAAUAAACAUUAUCAUUUAAAAAAGCGUGUCAUCAGCUUCCGGCAUUCUUUCUUCUAUUUCUUGUACAAACAAGUUUAUCCGAAUUUACAAUCUCUUGUAAUUGUUAUUUCAGCAUUUCUUUCUGAAAUUGCUCCUUAUUUUAAGUAAGCCAUUGAAUGAUCUCCAGUUCCGAUGUUUACAUAAAUUCGACCUCUUAAUUUUGUAUUAGGCAAAUUGUUUUCAAUAUCCAC